Long non-coding RNA from Capsicum annuum, 1833 nucleotides. RefSeq lists it as uncharacterized. The transcript is spliced from 4 exons. NCBI's taxonomy places the organism in Eukaryota, Viridiplantae, Streptophyta, Magnoliopsida, Solanales, Solanaceae. The record is from RefSeq and is a predicted model, not a curated record.
AAGUUUUUGCCUUUUUCUCUCUUCAGCUUUUUGAUUUACAAAAACUUCUUAAUAGAGGAGCAUCAUUUUUCUUUUAUAGUUGAGUGAUGAUAAGGGUUGAAAUGAAAUUGGACCAGGUGUCCUAAAUAGUACAAGCAACAUCUGUGCAGUUUGUUACACAAGAGGACAAAACUGUGCAGAUGCAUGCCAACUGUACUGUAGCCUUGAACAUCCAGGGACCUGGUCCAUUGUAGUCAUCUACUCAUCAUCAAAACAAGAUAUAAUGAUCUCCCUGGGUUAGGUAGCCGCACUAUUUGGGGGGCAGUUUCUUGCCUCUAUGUUACGCAUUCUUUGGGCUUGGAUUUUGCCUCAGAGAAUUUUUUUAUCAUCUUUUACACCCUUCACGUAACAUGUGAGAAGCUCUUUUCAGUCAAAUGUCGGUGAUAUAAUGGUGUACUUUUGAGCUUGUAUUAAAUGGCCUGCCAAUGGCUUCGUCCGCUUCAAAUUCUUUGCAGGAACUCCCAUUCUUUGAGAGAAAUGGAACUAUUAUACCUAGAGGUGGGCCCCUCCUCUAAUGGACAUUCACCAUUGGGCGCUGAAAAUUAUUGAGUUGGUCUGGUAAAAAAUGCACACUUGGGAACACAUCUCCACAAAAAGGAGUGGAUCUGCAAAGACCAUGGUAUUUGCUUUUCCUAACCUUGCACCUUGCAGACACCUUUCUUGUGUUAAUAAUUUCCCUUUUCUUUAGGGAUUAAGGUUGGCAUUGUUGAGUUACAUUUGUACAACUUCCUGUUAACUCUUAAGAGGUUUUCUCAUUUCCUUGUGCAUCAGCUCGUGGUAGCCGAGUGACUCCCAAGACCACCCCUCAACCAACCAAAAAAAGGAUUCGAGGUCCACACUAUCAGGCAAGAAGUAGAGACUGUGCGAGGUAGCUCCUUUACCUAAAAGGAAUAAGCCCUAGACAUAUAUAUUUGAUGCUACUAUAACAGAGGUCCAACCUUUAGCAUCUCACCUAUAUAUGUUCGGAGGUAAUCUAUCACAUGAAAACAAGAUUGACAAAUUGGUCUGCGAUAAUUUAACUAUACAUAUAGUCCCUGGUUCUCCUAUAAAAAGGGACCAUCUACGAGAUCCAUAUCCUCAUUUGGUUGAUCUUUUUCCUGUAGAGGUGCUAGGGAUCCUGUCACCCAUUAGGAAUUGAGCUCUUUUUAAAGUCUCUUUCAAGACUAUCUCGCGAAAGAAAAGGAACCGAAGGUAUGAAAAGUGGAGAUCGUUGCAGCCCUAAAAGAAAAGUACGUAGCUUGGCGGACCUUUCUUUUACAGACAAGGAGGCUCAGACACACGUAAACCUUAAGGAGAAAGCUGCCGAAGCCACGAUCGCUCGAGCUAAAGCAGAAUUCCUGACAGGGGAGGUCAGCUCUCUUGGUUGGUUCAGUGAUGACUUUUAUUAGAAAUAAAUAAAGUAUAUGUAUCUCAAGUGGUAGCUAAGGAAGAGUCAAGCUCCACGCUUGUCCGUGAGGGAUUAUGUUUUGAGAGCUAGCUGAGGUAAAAUUUGUGUAGAGAAGUUGAGUGUUCUUGAGAAAGUUUUAGCUAAGCCCCUCUCAAUUGAUUAAGAAUUUAGAGCGACUAGAGCAGCCGUUCAAGAGAAUCCACGCCCAUUUUAUGACACCACCGAGGUUGCUUUUCCCAAGAUGACUCAUCAUCAAGUAGCAAUUCCAAAGAUGCUCCUAACUCUGAAGUCAGGCUCCGCUGAACCCCUGCAGCUUCUUCUAAUAUUUUCCUUGUUUUUCCUUGAAUUUGACCCUUCUUACGUUGUACUCUUAUUUACUUUAUUUUGAGACUUCUUUGUGAUGGAUA